CCUACGGGUGGCAGCAGUGGGGAAUAUUGCACAAUGGGCGCAAGCCUGAUGCAGCCAUGCCGCGUGUGUGAAGAAGGCCUUCGGGUUGUAAAGCACUUUCAGCGGGGAGGAAGGCGGUGAGGUUAAUAACCUCAUCGAUUGACGUUACCCGCAGAAGAAGCACCGGCUAACUCCGUGCCAGCAGCCGCGGUAAUACGGAGGGUGCAAGCGUUAAUCGGAAUUACUGGGCGUAAAGCGCACGCAGGCGGUCUGUCAAGUCGGAUGUGAAAUCCCCGGGCUCAACCUGGGAACUGCAUUCGAAACUGGCAGGCUAGAGUCUUGUAGAGGGGGGUAGAAUUCCAGGUGUGGCGGUGAAAUGCGUAGAGAUCUGGAGGAAUACCGGUGGCGAAGGCGGCCCCCUGGACAAAGACUGACGCUCAGGUGCGAAAGCGUGGGGAGCAAACAGGAUUAGAUACCCCUGUAGUC
This 465-nucleotide ribosomal RNA is filed under the name uncultured Klebsiella sp. RNAcentral describes it as "bacterial SSU rRNA". It matches the Rfam family "Bacterial small subunit ribosomal RNA", at positions 338 to 795 of the family's 1533-position model. The record is from RNAcentral. Lineage: Bacteria; Pseudomonadati; Pseudomonadota; Gammaproteobacteria; Enterobacterales; Enterobacteriaceae.